This 70-nucleotide small RNA is filed under the name Xanthomonas albilineans GPE PC73. Its description in RNAcentral is "int-alpA RNA". It matches the Rfam family "int-alpA RNA". From Rfam's summary of the family: Acidobacteria (1 example), Planctomycetes (1 example), Proteobacteria. Environment (Lake Washington) Lineage: Bacteria; Pseudomonadati; Pseudomonadota; Gammaproteobacteria; Lysobacterales; Lysobacteraceae. The record is from Rfam by way of RNAcentral.
CCCGCACCUAGACGACGAGACGAAAAGCCGGACGCCCUGCCGGCUUGGUGUGGGAACUUUCUCUCCAGGG